RNAcentral lists this ribosomal RNA (560 nucleotides) under Aspergillus puniceus. RNAcentral describes it as "eukaryotic LSU rRNA". The stretch from base 174 to 327 matches the Rfam family "5.8S ribosomal RNA". Lineage: Eukaryota; Fungi; Ascomycota; Eurotiomycetes; Eurotiales; Aspergillaceae. The record is from RNAcentral.
UCCGGAGUGCAGCCUCGCCCACAGGCAGGCCUAACCUCCCACCCGUGAAUACCUGACCAACGUUGCUUCGGCGGUGCGCGCCCCCUUCCCGGGGGGCGUAAGCCGCCGGGGACCACACCGAACUUCUUGUUUUUAGCGUGUCGUCUGAGCUUGAUACAAGCAAACCUAAUUAAAACUUUCAACAAUGGAUCUCUUGGUUCCGGCAUCGAUGAAGAACGCAGCGAACUGCGAUAAGUAAUGUGAAUUGCAGAAUUCAGUGAAUCAUCGAGUCUUUGAACGCACAUUGCGCCCCCUGGCAUUCCGGGGGGCAUGCCUGUCCGAGCGUCAUUGCUGCCCUUCAAGCCCGGCUUGUGUGUUGGGUCGUCGUCCCCCCCGGGGGACGGGCCCGAAAGGCAGCGGCGGCACCGCGUCCUGGUCCUCGAGCGUAUGGGGCUUUGUCACCCGCUCGUUUAGGGCCGGCCGGGCGCCAGCCGGCGUCUCCAAACCUUUUAUUUUACCAGGUUGACCUCGGAUCAGGUAGGGAUACCCGCUGAACUUAAGCAUAUCAAUAAGGCGGAGGA